RNAcentral lists this ribosomal RNA (456 nucleotides) under Acanthamoeba sp. Ac48. RNAcentral's name for it is "SSU rRNA". It matches the Rfam family "Eukaryotic small subunit ribosomal RNA", at positions 752 to 1096 of the family's 1831-position model. The record is from RNAcentral. Lineage: Eukaryota; Discosea; Longamoebia; Acanthamoebidae.
UNACCGUGAAAAAAUUAGAGUGUUCAAAGCAGGCAGAUCCAAUUUUCUGCCACCGAAUACAUUAGCAUGGGAUAAUGGAAUAGGACCCUGUCCUCCUAUUUUCAGUUGGUUUUGGCAGCGCGAGGACUAGGGUAAUGAUUAAUAGGGAUAGUUGGGGGCAUUAAUAUUUAAUUGUCAGAGGUGAAAUUCUUGGAUUUAUGAAAGAUUAACUUCUGCGAAAGCAUCUGCCAAGGAUGUUUUCAUUAAUCAAGAACGAAAGUUAGGGGAUCGAAGACGAUCAGAUACCGUCGUAGUCUUAACCAUAAACGAUGCCGACCAGCGAUUAGGAGACGUUGAAUACAAAACACCACCAUCGGCGCGGUCGUCCUUGGCGUCUCGGUCCUUCACGGGGCCGGGGCGCGGGGGCGGCUUAGCCCGGUGGCACCGGUGAAUGACUCCCCUAGCAGCUUGUGAGAA